AGUGUAGCUGCUUAAAAGGCUUAAAAGGCACUUUCUCUCUUUAUAUAAGAACGCAAACACAUGAUCUGCUGGAAUCAUGGUGAAGUCUCUCUCAUUUGAUUUCAUCUCCUCUUAUUGGUUUCAGGUUGUGACAACGACAAUGGUGGUGAUUGUAAGCUUGUGGUUAUUGGUGGACGACGAAGGUUGUGAAUGUGAAGACAAUAAAUAGUGGUGAUGGUGGCAGUCAACAAUGGUGGGCGAUGGUAGUCUAGCCGAUGAUCAUGGUGGUGGACUUCGGUGAUUGUGGAUGAUGUAAAGAUGAUGGACAAAAGGGGUGAUGGGAGGUUGUUGCAAAUACCAUAGUGGUGGCUAGUGGGUGAUAAUGAUUGUGGAGGAUGUGAAGAUGGUGGAUAGUGGUGGUGAUGGUGGCCGUCGACGUUGAGGUGGUGGUCUUCGGUAUAAAUAACUCACCAAGGUUUGUUUUAUCUGGUAUCAAACGGGAGCUACGAGCAAAUAGAACAUCGAAAGCUUGACGGAGCAAUGCCGUGUGGAGGUAGAAGGCCCACGGGUCGUGAACUUCUUUAAGAGUCGUUUAUCAAAUGCUUAUCUGUUAUAUGUUUAUCAAGUCAUAUUAUUGUACUAGAUGAACAUGACAAGGACUGGGAAACUCACCUUAUAAGAAUGAUGUCAAUGACCAAGAGCCUUAUCGGGUGACGACUCUUACAUGGUGUCGUUUUGAUAACUAAUAAAUGAUAGUGUUAACUUUGA
Long non-coding RNA from Cynara cardunculus var. scolymus (artichoke), 747 nucleotides. RefSeq lists it as uncharacterized. The transcript is spliced from 2 exons. The record is from RefSeq and is a predicted model, not a curated record. Lineage: Eukaryota; Viridiplantae; Streptophyta; Magnoliopsida; Asterales; Asteraceae.